RNAcentral lists this ribosomal RNA (253 nucleotides) under uncultured bacterium. RNAcentral's name for it is "partial 16S ribosomal RNA". It matches the Rfam family "Bacterial small subunit ribosomal RNA", at positions 524 to 776 of the family's 1533-position model. The record is from RNAcentral.
UACGAAGGAUUCGAGCGUUAUCCGGAUUUAUUGGGUUUAAAGGGUGCGUAGGCGGGUUUGUAAGUCAGUGGUGAAAGCCCUCAGCUUAACUGAGGAAUUGCCGUUGAUACUGCAAGUCUUGAGUACACUUGAGGUGGGCGGAAUGUAUCAUGUAGCGGUGAAAUGCUUAGAUAUGAUACAGAACACCAAUUGCGAAGGCAGCUCACUAAAUUGUAACUGACGCUGAGGCACGAAAGCGUGGGUAUCAAACAGG